UCUUGCAAGCUAGGUGUGGGCAAAGUGCCGCAAUACAUAGUUUUGAAAUUGAGUAAGCUAUGAAAAAUACGCUACUUUUCAUAGCAGUUGUAAGAAAAUACAAUGAAAAAACUUGGCAAACACGAUAGAUGGAAAAAGUAAAUCCUAUAAGUUUUCAGUAUUUCAAUUCAAUUCAGUCUGGUUACAUUGAAAAUAUUGUGUUUUACUAUGGAACGACGACAUUUGUCUUAAGACGAGACGAAUCGAGCAGUAGGCCUUUUUUAAGCGCCAAGUCGAAGCAUCUGAGUGGAUGGGUGUCUCCCAAACUGCCAUAAGUCAUUUAUGGAGGCGUUUCAGGGAAACUGCGAGUCCGGCUGAACAACACCUAGGACGUAGACGCUGUACAAUGACAAGUCAGGAAAGAUUUUCAUUGCUAGGUAGAUAGAUAAAUAGAUAGAUAGAUAUAUAUGUUUAUUCGUUCUCAUUGAAAUAAACAAAAACAAGUCACAGAGAUAAUUACAUAUAUAAUUUUCUGUAUGUGUUAGAAGACAACGUACAAUUACACCUGAAUUGAAUUAUAGAAUUGCAGCGAGCACAUAACAUAAUCAUUGGACGAGUUACUCAAAGAAAUGGUCUUCACGACUAAAAAAUUAGAUGUCCACCUUUUUCUAAAGGCAUUCGCGGUGCCAGAGCAGACUGGUGCGAAAAUCAAUAAAAUUGGAAUGCAGAUGAUUCACUGAGUUUGGAGGCGAUCCGGGAAGCAUUUUUCCGUUUCCUAUGUGGCUAGCGCAACCAGUUGCUCUAAUCCAUUAGGGAACGGAGACUAGCGAGACAACUUCGUUCCCUAUGUGGCUAACGCAACUCGCACAUUUAUUGACCAGUGCUCUGCUUACAUGCUAAACAUUUUUGCAUAUACACCUAUAUUGUUAUAUUAAUGUAUAAAAUGAUAAUUAAAAUUUUUUUCUUUAAAUCAGGCUGAUUUAAGUUGGGUUUUUAUUCAAUGUAUCAAUUUAGUUCUCUCAUUUAAUAGGUUCUGCCUUUAAAUUUUUUAGAUCAUUGGGUAGUUUAUUUGUCCCCACGAUACAUUGCCAACACAAUUUGAUUUUUUAUUCUUCUAUGAAUAGUUGGUUUAUGCACAAAUAUUAAAUUUUAUUCGAUAUUGGGAUUCCACGUUAACUUCAAUAACAUUUGAUUUCAACUGUAGAUAUAAAUAUAAAUGAAAGCCGGCAUUCAUAAUAAACAAGAUACCUGUGCAAAGUUAUUUGAAUAUCUAAUUUUUGAGAAUAACAAUCAUAAUUAUUAUAUUCUACCUACAGAAAUUUCAUUGAUUAAUUUAAAAUCACAAAUUUCAUCCGGGAAUGUGGAACGUUUAGAAAAUGGAAGUUCACGCAUAUAGAGGCGGUACCGUAAUGGUAUGGACCGGAAAAAUAAUAGACGGCAGAACCGACCUCGUUUACCAAAUGGUUUUCUGACAGGUCAGCAAUAUAUGGAUGAUAUUCUUCAACCCUUUGCGCCUUUAUUUACUGGUGCAGUUGGUGCAAAAUUUCGCCCUAAUGCAGGAUAAUUCUCGUCCCAUACUGCUGCCUGUGGGACGAACUGCUUAGAAAACGAGGGACUUGAGGUAUAUGCAAUAUUCAAUAUAGAAAAGAUGAAGAACUCUGAAAAAAAUCAAAAUUGCGGAAAACCUGCAACUUUCGAGGUUUUUUCUCUCGGUUGUCAAAUUGAAUUUUAUUUUCUGAAUCAUCUCAAUUUUCAAAAAAUUUCUGAGGAAAAAUUUUUUCAUAAAUCGAAAAACAUACUUUUUAUAUAUCUACAGCGAAAAAAAAUCACGUUUCACAAAAUUUUUCACGUUAGUAGUUAAUGUAUGAGAGUUCAUCCUCCCUUUUUGACUUCAAUUUUCAUCCUCGAGCCGUGCAGGGUGUGUCAAUAGGCCUGGGGGUAAAGUUUAGAGUUCCGGUAGCUAUGUGUACCCCCAUCUUGGCCCUCAUGCGGAGUCUUAGUCAUAUUUGUGGGUGGUAUUCUUGGGCCCCGUUUCCUAUGCCCUCUGAUAUUGGAGCCCUGUGUGUACCCCCAUAUUGACUACCAUUUUGGCGCACCCAGAUCGGUGAUGGUAUUCUUGGGCACCAUUUCUUGUGCCCCAACAUUUCGGAGCCCUAUUCGUAUUAUCGGGCCCACAGAUAUGUUGUCGCGCAGUCCUGUAGUCAUGUUUCAUGUGGACGAGGCCUAUGUGUAUGCCCCUAUUUUUGGGCCUCCGAAUAUCAGGGCCCCCAGAUCUGUAGUCGCGAAGUCCUAGUCAUGUUUCAUGUGAAGGAGGCCUAUGUGUGUGUGUCCCUAUUCUUGGUGCCUCCUAAUAUCGGGGCCCCCAGAUCUGUAGUCGCGGAGUCCUAGUCAUGUUUAAUGUGAAGGAGGCCUAUGUGUGUGCCCCUAUUCUUGGUGGCUCCUAAUAUCGGGGCCCCCAGAUCUGUAGUCGCGGAGUCCUGGUCCUGUUUCAUGUGAAGGAGGCCUAUGUGUGUGCCCCUAUUCUUGGUGCCUCCUAAUAUCGGGGCCCCCAGAUCUGUAGUCGCGGAGUCCUAGUCAUGUUUCAUGUGAAGGAGGCCUAUGUGUGUGCCCCUAUUCUUGGUGCCUCCUAAUAUCGGGGCCCCCAGAUCUGUAGUCGCGGAGUCCUAGUCAUGUUUCAUGUGAAGGAGGCCUAAGUGUGUG
Long non-coding RNA from Harmonia axyridis, 2679 nucleotides. RefSeq lists it as uncharacterized. The record is from RefSeq and is a predicted model, not a curated record. The transcript has 2 exons. NCBI's taxonomy places the organism in Eukaryota, Metazoa, Arthropoda, Insecta, Coleoptera, Coccinellidae.